GCAUAUCAAUAAGCGGAGGAAAAGAAACCAACCGGGAUUGCCCCAGUAACGGCGAGUGAAGCGGCAAGAGCUCAAAUUUGAAAUCUGGCCCCUCCGGGGUCCGAGUUGUAAUUUGCAGAGGAUGCUUCGGGUGCGGCCCCUGUCUAAGUGCCCUGGAACGGGCCGUCAGAGAGGGUGAGAAUCCCGUCUUGGGCAGGGUGCCCGUGCCCGUGUGAAGCUCCUUCGACGAGUCGAGUUGUUUGGGAAUGCAGCUCUAAAUGGGUGGUAAAUUUCAUCUAAAGCUAAAUACCGGCCGGAGACCGAUAGCGCACAAGUAGAGUGAUCGAAAGAUGAAAAGCACUUUGAAAAGAGAGUUAAACAGCACGUGAAAUUGUUGAAAGGGAAGCGCUUGCGACCAGACUCGGCCUCGGGGUUCAGCCAGCAUUCGUGCUGGUGUACUUCCCCGGGGCCGGGCCAGCGUCGGUUCGGGCGGCCGGUCAAAGGCCCCAGGAAUGUAUCGUCCUCCGGGACGUCUUAUAGCCUGGGGUGCAAUGCGGCCAGCCUGGACCGAGGAACGCGCUUCGGCACGGACGCUGGCGUAAUGGUCACAAACGACCCGUCUUGAAACACGGACCAAGGAGUCUAACAUCUACGCGAGUGUUCGGGUGUCAAACCCGUACGCGCAGUGAAAGCGAACGGAGGUGGGAGCCCCUUUGGGGCGCACCAUCGACCGAUCCUGAAGUCUUCGGAUGGAUUUGAGUACGAGCGUAGCUGUGGGGACCCGAAAGAUGGUGAACUAUGCCUGAAUAGGGUGAAGCCAGAGGAAACUCUGGUGGAGGCUCGCAGCGGUUCUGACGUGCAAAUCGAUCGUCAAAUUUGGGUAUAGGGGCGAAAGACUAAUCGAACCAUCUGGUAGCUGGUUCCUGCCGAU
This 910-nucleotide ribosomal RNA is filed under the name Aspergillus versicolor. RNAcentral's name for it is "LSU rRNA". It matches the Rfam family "Eukaryotic large subunit ribosomal RNA", at positions 38 to 965 of the family's 3401-position model. The record is from RNAcentral. Lineage: Eukaryota; Fungi; Ascomycota; Eurotiomycetes; Eurotiales; Aspergillaceae.